GCGGAUAUGGCGUAAUUGGUAGCCGCGCUAGACUUAGGAUCUAGUUCCUCACGGAGUGGGAGUUCGAGUCUCCCUAUCCGCA
Molecule: transfer RNA, 82 nt
Filed under: Candidatus Colimorpha pelethequi
Lineage: Bacteria; Pseudomonadati; Bacteroidota; Bacteroidia; Bacteroidales
Description: tRNA-Leu
Rfam family: tRNA
About the family: Transfer RNA (tRNA) molecules are approximately 80 nucleotides in length. Their secondary structure includes four short double-helical elements and three loops (D, anti-codon, and T loops).
Source: RNAcentral